Long non-coding RNA from Drosophila virilis, 895 nucleotides. RefSeq lists it as uncharacterized. Lineage: Eukaryota; Metazoa; Arthropoda; Insecta; Diptera; Drosophilidae. The record is from RefSeq and is a predicted model, not a curated record.
CAGUCUGUCUAGUUUUUACAGUCAGUCAAUUAUUUUUUAUUUAUAAAUAUAAAUGAAGCUGAGGAUGUUUCGUUCAGUGCGAUUAAAAGUCUCUGUAAGCUGCCUAACGUGGCACAAAACGUUUCUAUUUGCAAUACGUUGCCUUCAAGUCACCCACUUUUCACAUCUCCCGCCCGCUGGUUGCUACUUUUAUCGCUUGUUGCAGCUGCAAGCACCUCUGGAAUGGCAAGAUAUGCUCAUCACAUAAGCCGCCUACAGCAUUUUCACACAAUGCACACAAGCCUCAUCAGGCAACACUCGCACUCACCUUUCUGGGACUGGUCCAGAAUUGAACCAUCAGAACGUAUGAGAAUAUUCACGAGUCGCCAGUUCUGUUGGGACUUGGCACUCAGCACGGAUGCAGGCGCGGCGAAGCGAGGCAAAUGGCUGGACAUGAACUGGAUGAUUCCAGCUGUUGAUGGUCAUGCUGGUGCAUUUUCAUAUUCACACCAUUUGGGCUGGUGGAGUGCCUCUUCUGGCCAGGCCAGACAAAUUAUGGCCACGAUUCUGACUACUUGUUGGACUCUGAAGUCCUCUUAGAGAAGAGGCUGGCAGUGCUGCUGCUCCGGCGAUAAGCAUUUGCGUGAUUAAUGAAAUUUGAUGCCCCUGCCCAGGAGAACGGCGCCGAAAAAGAGCUGUGAGCGGCGCUUGAGUGGAGCAGCCAAAUAGGAAAGGCUAUUGCCGAAAUCUAAAUACCCUAAUGGGCGUUUCACACUGUUUUUCCAAUUAAAGAUCCUAUGACAGCUAUAUAUUGUAGUGCUCCGAUCUGGCCAGUUGCAUCCAUUUAAGACAAUAGCUUUAGGACCAAGAUACUAGUUGCAUCGAAAGAGACGCUGCUGUUGAUACUGAACUUGAA